Molecule: non-coding RNA, 122 nt
Organism: Danio rerio (zebrafish)
Lineage: Eukaryota; Metazoa; Chordata; Actinopteri; Cypriniformes; Danionidae
Source: Rfam
UCCAGCAGGAGACGUCUAUCACCCUGCAGCCCAAGACCAGUUAAUCACUGAAGCUAAGCAGGGCUGAGCCUGGUCAGUACCUGGAUGGGAGGCCACUAGGGAACACUAGGUUGCUGUUGGAA